CCUACGGGUGGCAGCAGUGGGGGAUAUUGCACAAUGGGGGGAACCCUGAUGCAGCGACGCCGCGUGGGUGAAGAAGCGCCUCGGCGCGUAAAGCCCUGUCAGCAGGGAAGAAGAUGACGGUACCUGAAGAAGAAGCCCCGGCUAACUACGUGCCAGCAGCCGCGGUAAUACGUAGGGGGCAAGCGUUAUCCGGAUUUAUUGGGUGUAAAGGGGGCGCAGGCGGCGGUGCAAGCCAGGAGUGAAAGCGCGGGGCCAAACCCCGGGCCUGCUGUUGAAACUGCGUGGCUGGAGUGCAGGAGGGGCAUGCGGAAUUCCUGGUGUAGCGGUGAAAUGCGUAGAUAUCAGGAGGAACCCCGGUGGCGAAGGCAGCCUGCUGGACUGAAACUGACGUUGAGGCACGAAAGCGUGGGUAGCGAACAGGAUUAGAUACCCGGGUAGUC
RNAcentral lists this ribosomal RNA (440 nucleotides) under uncultured bacterium. RNAcentral describes it as "partial 16S ribosomal RNA". It matches the Rfam family "Bacterial small subunit ribosomal RNA", at positions 338 to 795 of the family's 1533-position model. The record is from RNAcentral.